GAUCGGCCCGCGUCUGAUUAGCUAGUUGGUGAGGUAACGGCUCACCAAGGCUUCGAUCAGUAGCUGGUUUGAGAGAACGACCAGCCACACUGGGACUGAGACACGGCCCAGACUCCUACGGGAGGCAGCAGUGGGGAAUCUUGGACAAUGGGGGCAACCCUGAUCCAGCCAUGCCGCGUGAGUGAUGAAGGCCUUCGGGUUGUAAAACUCUUUUACCAGGGAAGAUAAUGACUGUACCUGGAGAAUAAGCCCCGGCUAACUUCGUGCCAGCAGCCGCGGUAAUACGAAGGGGGCUAGCGUUGUUCGGAAUUACUGGGCGUAAAGCGUGCGCAGGCGGUCCUUCAAGUCAGGGGUGAAAGCCCAGAGCUCAACUCUGGAAUUGCCUUUGAAACUGUAGGACUUGAGUACGAGAGAGGUGAGUGGAAUUCCCAGUGUAGAGGUGAAAUUCGUAGAUAUUGGGAAGAACACCGGUGGCGAAGGCGGCUCACUGGCCCGUAACUGACGCUCAUGCACGACAGCGUGGGGAUCAAACAGGAUUAGAUACCCUGGUAGUCCACGCCGUAAACUAUGAACGCUAGCUGUUGGCAGGCUUGCCUGUCAGUAGCGCAGCUAACGCAUUAAGCGUUCCGCCUGGGGAGUA
This 640-nucleotide ribosomal RNA is filed under the name uncultured Alphaproteobacteria bacterium. RNAcentral's name for it is "bacterial SSU rRNA". It matches the Rfam family "Bacterial small subunit ribosomal RNA", at positions 224 to 882 of the family's 1533-position model. The record is from RNAcentral. Lineage: Bacteria; Pseudomonadati; Pseudomonadota; Alphaproteobacteria.